GUUCAGAAAUGGGAAUCGAACCCACAGUGUUCCGCUUACCGGGCAGAUGUCAUGUCCACUAGGCUACCCUGGA
Molecule: transfer RNA, 73 nt
Filed under: Cordylochernes scorpioides
Lineage: Eukaryota; Metazoa; Arthropoda; Arachnida; Pseudoscorpiones; Chernetidae
Description: tRNA-Thr
Source: RNAcentral